Molecule: microRNA precursor, 174 nt
Filed under: Theobroma cacao (cacao)
Lineage: Eukaryota; Viridiplantae; Streptophyta; Magnoliopsida; Malvales; Malvaceae
Description: theobroma cacao miR530b stem-loop
Rfam family: MIR530 microRNA precursor family
Source: Rfam by way of RNAcentral
GCUAAGAUGUAGCCUUUAUCUGCAUUUGCACCUGCACCUUCUUGUUUUUAUUUGGUUCACUUCAGCACCCUUCUGCUUUAGAAACCAAAGCUUGGGCAGAUGUGUUUGUGGUGGAGGAAGAUAAGGGCCAAGCAAAGAGGUGCAGGGGCAGCUGCAGGUGAAUGCCAUUUUGGC